CGUGCAGGUGGUUCGGUAAGUUGGAUGUGAAAACUCCUGGCUCAACUGGGAGAGGUCGUUCAAAACUACCGGACUUGAGAGCAGUAGAGGGAGGUGGAAUUCCCGGUGUAGUGGUGAAAUGCGUAGAUAUCGGGAGGAACACCAGUGGCGAAAGCGGCCUCCUGGACUGUUUCUGACACUCAGACGCGAAAGGCUAGGGUAGCAAACGGGAUUAGAGACCCCGGUAGUCCUAGCUGUAAACGAUGUGAACUUGGCGUCGGCGGGUUCAAAGCCGUCGGUGCCGAAGCCAACGCGAUAAGUUCACCGCCUGGGGACUACGGCCGCAAGGUUAA
This 332-nucleotide ribosomal RNA is filed under the name uncultured bacterium. RNAcentral's name for it is "bacterial SSU rRNA". It matches the Rfam family "Bacterial small subunit ribosomal RNA", at positions 568 to 897 of the family's 1533-position model. The record is from RNAcentral.